This is a ribosomal RNA of Aotus nancymaae (Ma's night monkey), 119 nucleotides long. The record is from Ensembl. NCBI's taxonomy places the organism in Eukaryota, Metazoa, Chordata, Mammalia, Primates, Aotidae.
GUCUACGGCCAUACCACCCUGAACAUGCCCAAUCUCGUCUGAUCUCGGAAGCUAAGCAGGGUUGGGCCUGGUUAGUACUUGGAUGGGAGACCACCUGGUAAUACCGGGUGCUGUAGGCU